Molecule: long non-coding RNA, 3292 nt
Filed under: Homo sapiens (human)
Lineage: Eukaryota; Metazoa; Chordata; Mammalia; Primates; Hominidae
Description: HSALNT0326481
Source: RNAcentral
AACAUACAAUGCACUGAGGCUGAGAGGGAAGGAACGGAGCGAGUCAGGGAGAGAAAUCAUGAAGCUUUUCAGGGUAAAAUACAAACCUGCUCAUCCAGCUUGCCAACACGUUUUUAACAUUUGCAUCGACUAAUCUGUGAACAGUCGUUGGGGUGAUAAUUUCGUCUGAGAGAUUAACCAUUCAAGUCUCAAAGUUCCCAAGGAUUGUGAAAUCCUGCUUGUAAAAAUACAGAUUUUGAAGUGUUUCUUUUUUCUCCCUUUCUCAAAUGAAACCCCGAGGAUGCGCUUUGGACUUGGGGACUGAGGGCGUGGUGGGCAGACAGCUGUUGAAUCCAAACAAAGACUAUUCUGGAUCUGACGCCGUUUCGGUUUCCAUCUGGGAGUACUUUUCAUUUCCUUCUUCCCAUUCCAAAGGAAAGAAAUGGAUUAGGAAUGGGGCAGUCAGAAUUAUGUGUUUAUGGCGGACAGAUGGAACAGGAGAGGAUGAACCUUCAGCAACAAAAGGAUCAUUGAGAUUUGGUUCCUGGGUGUGCAAAUUUGGAAACAAAAUAACCAAGGAAGCUAUGGGAAUACCAAGACUCUAGCUAUCGACAAUGUUGACUCAUAGACGAAUCAUCUCUCCUUCUCUACUUUCCUAUCAUCAAUCAAGAAUUGUGGCCCCAUCUCACAAACUGCCGCGGAAGCCAAAAUUGCAGGACAUUUUGAGAAACAAGUCUUGAAAUCUGCCUGAAACUAACAAAAGCCACCCGCCAGUCAACCAGAGUCAGUCGCUCUCUCUCUCUCCCUUUCUUCCCUCCUCUCCCCCACUCUUCCUCGUCUCCCGCCCCCGCCCCCCAUCUUUCUCCAGCUAGCCUCGCCCCAAUUAACGCCCUACAGCCAGUCAGCCUUACACCUGCUGGAAAAAUCUUGGUGGCAGUGGUGGGAGGUGGUGGUUUUGGUUUUUAGCAGAGCGCGGGAGCACCCUGUCACACCCUCCUGAGACCGCCCUAGGACCGUCCUCUGGAAUAUCUUGGAGCCAGGAGCCAGGGAGGCUUUCCUCAGUCCCAGUCGUUGCCUGUCGCCGCUUUCGGUUUCUCUUCCCUAAUAGCACCCGCCACCCCUUUUCUCUGAAAUUCUCAAAGCAAUUUCAUCCUUUGCAGAGUUGCAAAGCUCUCCUACUGACUUGGGGUGUGCGGCUUAAAAAGGGGAGAAUGGAGUAGCUCGAAAGGGAAGGAGGGUCACAUUGAAUUCUCCUUUUAAAAAUUUUAAUUUCAUUGACACGUCUUGAAAGGUUUGUUUUGGUAUAAGGCAAGGCUGCCAAUUCCAAAUACAAACAGACGGACACACACUGUGUGUAUCAGAUGUUGGGAAUAAAAAUGGUUUAUUGAUUGAAAUAAUAGAGGCAUUAUUUUGAUUUGUCUUGACAUGGACGCUGAUUUAUAGAGCUCUUCCCCCAGUGAUUUCUUCUUGUAGUCCAGACACAUGGAAAUGAUAAAAAUCUCACCAAAGCUCACCUUGGUGCUAAUCAAGACUGCUCGAUGCACGUUAUAAAUCUGAUACAAUAUUUAUUGCUUAUCUGUAUUCGAGGGGUUAGUCUCCAUCCUAGGAUUGUCCCUUUCAAAAAAAAUUUUUUGGAUGCAUCUGUUUUCACUUUGCACUUUCAACGGGCUGGAGCAGACAAUAGUGUGAAAAACAUCUGAAAAUAUGAGGCGACAGAGCUGCAUGUGUGUUUCAUUUCUGCGGUGUUAGGGGAGAAAAUAACAAAAGAAACACACACUACAACACACACGCACGCACGCACACACACACACCGGCCCAGGACCUCAGCACAAAGGGCGCGCUGACCCAGCGCUAACACACAAGACAAAUUAAAGAAAGGGGCAAAUCGGAGGAGGGGCUAAGGCGAGGGUCCAGGCAUUUCGGGAAAAGAUCAAGGACAAGGAGAGUUAAGAAACUGACCGUGGGCCAGGGAAGACCGGAGAGAGAGAAAGUAAAGUGUCCAGGACUGGAACUCACGUCCCUGAGGCAGGGGACAGUAAGUUUGCUUGUAACACAGACAGUUUUCCUUGACUGCAGGAAACAAGAAAAAUAGUAAUCAUAAAACAAGCACAAAUCCCCCAAACAUCAGGGGGGUAAAACCCCCAUUAUUAGCCAUCACAAACCAAAACCCAAACCGAGUCUUUUCUGCUGAAUUGCUGCAAGAUCACAAGAGACCAAGAGAUCCGGAGUCAGGCUGUGAACUUGGGAAAGAUAAGUUGCCCGGCGAGGUUGGAGGUAGACUGAGGAACGCCUUUUUUUGUGAAGGACACAAAUAUUUGCAGAGUUUAAAGCUGCAGGAAUACAAAAGCAGGAGUGAGAUUAUCUGAUUACGGAUACAGGAUGUCCGAGUUGUUGCCUCCCAAAAACGACUGCGUAAAAAAAAAUAAAUAAAAGGCCAGUUCGAAAAGUGAAAUUUUAAUAUCAGUGAAAGCAUCGGAGGGACUCGGAUUGAACGCGGCAGCUCCGGAACUGGACAACAGCUGCGUGGUGCAGCCAAUCCCGGGGCCUGUGGGAACGAGCGACCGAUCUCAGGACCACGCGGGCGAGAGCAAGGAGCCUCCCGGCCACACAGCCACAGGCGCUGCGGAACCCAGCCCGGACUCUCCCCGGCUGGAGUGUGCGAAGGGCUUCCCGCCCAGGGGCCCAGGGUGGUCUUAGUGAAAAAGGGAUGGCGCUGCAGCACUGACCACGUUGCCCUGGUUUCUCCAUUUCUCCUUCCCAAGUCUCUGCCUCUGUUUCCCCAUGACCCGGAGGACGCGCCUACGGAAGAGACGUCUGGUCGAGGGGGUGCCGGGGAGCGGAAGGGGGAGGGGAAGGUCUCAUCCCUGGGACGCUGACACCCCCCUCCCCGCGGCACUCCAGCUCCGAAGAGCGAGCUUCGGUUCCGCCCGCCCUCCAGACCAUUUGCUUAUUCUCACUAUUGUUUUAAUUUAUUGUGCAGCCUGUUGCGCCGCGGGCCCGGCUGAGCCAUUUGGGGCCCUCUAGAUGCCCUGCAGGGCGCCUGUCUCCGGACGACCACCACGCAGGAGCAGCGGGGGCACGCGCGUGUUUUCUUGUGGAUAACUGCCUCGGACUUGGCGGGGCCGGUCCCCACCUGAAGCUCACCUCAGGCAGUCGCUAGAAGUUCCAAUCCAAUCUGCUUUGGAAAUUUAGAAAGCGCGCUUUCAUUUGUACAUCGCCUGCCGACAGCCCCUUUGCUGAUUAGAGAAGCCUUGUUCCCCCUCUCCACGCGUACGCACACUCAUUUUUAGUUUUAACAAAUGAUUUAAAAAUC